AGACUGUACCUAUAACCUUGCAGGAGGUGCUGUGUGACUCUUUUUGGCAGUGCUUCCUUGCUCCCCUGGAGCUGGCUGGCAGCAGGAGCUGAACCCCAGGAGCUGAACCUCAGCAGCUAGCACAGCAGGAGGGGCAGCAGGGACAGGCAGACCUAUUUCUGCAAGCAAGCUGCUGUCUCCAGCGUUGUAAAGCUGGUCAGCUCCCCGAUGAAUGCGCUUAGUGGGGGCCUGGCGAUGCUGGUGCCUUCUUCUACCGUUGCGAAAGCACAGAGAUGUGCUCCGUAUGCAGCUCCAAGGGGCUUAUGCAGGGAAAAACUCUCAUGGGAGUAGGAGGGAAGAAGAAGUUCAAAGGCUUGUUGAGUAGAGGCUGCAGAAAGAGGCUUGGUGGGGUAUUAAUAAUAGAUUUCACAGUGGGAAGAAAGUAAGAAUUUUUGAAUUUGGGAAAAAAUUAGUAUCUACUUAAACCAUUUUCAUUAUGGAGUUCUGCCUGCUUGCUGGCUAAAUUCCCACUCCCGCAGUUUGUAUGACAGUAGCAAUAUCACACAGUGUCUUUUGUAUUUAAGAUCAGGAAUUACUGUUUUCUCACAGUAUUGACACAGGCCUGGGAAGAAGUCAAGUCUUCCAAGCUGAAUCUUCACUCAAUUGUUUGAAAAUCAACCCAGCUGCCUAUAGCUUCCACUUGCCGUCAAGGAGCAACCUGGAAUGACUUGUGGCGCUCUCGAAUUGUCCCUCGCGACGUGUGAGACUCACGGUCUGAAGUGGAUGGAACCACCUGCCCAGGUGCUGCCUGGCUGCUUCUGCUUCGCAGGCCAAGCAGGGGAAGAGGUAACACAGGUGUUCAAAGGGGACUGAGGUACUUCCUUGAAGUUGAGUGCUGCCAGCCUAGGUGCCAUCUCCACUCUGGGAAUGAUUCCCUUCAGCAACGAAUCUCUGCCCGCAGGGCCCAAGGAUGCCUUGCUUCCUUGUCAGAAGUAAGCCAGCUCCUUCGUCCAAGGUGAAAUCCAAGGAAGUUUGGAGGACAAUUCACUCCGGGGACCAGAACCAAAGGCUGGCGUUCCCCUCGCUCCAGUCACCCACUUCUCUUGGCAGCACCAAGGCCUGUCCCUGGAGAGCAUCAUCCUAUGGUGGCACUUUUAGCACAAGGAACUCUCGUUACCAGAGGAAAAACAGAUGCUUCCCGUCCAGACUAAUCAGGGAAGAAGUUUUACCCAGAGGAUGAAUCUGCAUCUUCCUUUUUUAUACUGAAGUUCAAUGUGAAUACAAAGGAAAUCAAGUGUUUCGUACAUCAGAGGAGAAAGGCAGAAGAGGUGAGGCAGAAGGAAGACAUGAUAAAAAUAGGAUAUAAAAGAGCAUCAUAAAAAUACACUGGAGCAGAAGUGUCAGAACAGCCUUUAAAAUAUCCUGGAUGAUCGAUAUGACAAAUAAUACAGAACUGGUGCUUGCAGUAAGCAGGGGUCCAAAGUAUCCCACUUUAAUUACUUUCCCGGGGAGUUUCCAGGGAGCAGUGUGGACUGCUGGCUAGACAUCAGCCACUGGUCAAGCCUGGCAGCACAUGAGAUGGCUAUUCACCAGCAUCCUCUGUGACGGGAAUAUGUGCCAGCCAAACUCCCAAUAAACACGACAAGAUCCCCA
This 1632-nucleotide long non-coding RNA is filed under the name Struthio camelus australis. RNAcentral describes it as "lncRNA (ENSSCUG00000015126.1)". The record is from RNAcentral. Lineage: Eukaryota; Metazoa; Chordata; Aves; Struthioniformes; Struthionidae.